UUUAAAUGUAAAAUAAAUAUACUAAAGUAGUAUUAGUUAUGUUCUUGAAAUUUAAAGAUUUUGGCGGUAUUUUAGUCUAUUUAGAGGAGCCUGUUCUAUAAUUGAUAAUCCACGAUUAAUUUUACUUAAUUUAUAUAAAUUUGUAUACCGUCGUUAUAAGAAGAUUUUAAAAGAAAAUAAAUUUUUAAUAGUUUAUAUAAAAAAAUAUAUCAGAUCAAGGUGCAGUUUAUAGUUAAGAAGAAAUGGGCUACAAUAAAUUUAUUUAUAUGAAUUAAAGUGAGAAUUUAACUUUAUGAAAGUGGAUUUAAUAGUAAUAAAAUUAAUUUUAAUUUUAUGAUUUUAGCUCUAAAAUAUG
RNAcentral lists this ribosomal RNA (355 nucleotides) under Carabus violaceus osismius. Its description in RNAcentral is "partial 12S ribosomal RNA". The record is from RNAcentral. Lineage: Eukaryota; Metazoa; Arthropoda; Insecta; Coleoptera; Carabidae.